This is a non-coding RNA of Heterocephalus glaber (naked mole-rat), 564 nucleotides long. The record is from RefSeq and is a predicted model, not a curated record. NCBI's taxonomy places the organism in Eukaryota, Metazoa, Chordata, Mammalia, Rodentia, Bathyergidae.
AGCUGGGCUGGCUAUGAGGAGAGUCUGCACUUUGGGAGCUCAUUUUAAUCACCGUUUUUAGAAGUCAUUCCCAGAGACGCUUUGGCCGCAAUUAACCAAUAAAGGAAUAGAACAAGGGAAGCCAGCAAUGAACUUUGGUCCCUCAGCCAUGAUCUAGGACAGUGCUUUGGGAGGAAUAACCAAUGUAUCUUCUUGGAGCAGUGGCGGUAUAGAGUCUGAGCCUUAUGGAGUUCUCUGGGUCCUUGCUGGGUUCAUCAGCUGGUAUGCUUGGCUAUUUUUGGAUGCCAUCCAUGGAGAAUCGAUGAAUAGAGAGGACAGUGUAUAAUAUUUCCACCUGGUCACUUGGCACAAACAAAACCUUCCCAAAAGAGCGUGGCACCUAAAGCCCUAUGAGACGAUCUCAUCUGAGUCUGUGUUCAUUGUCUGAAUUUCACAAAAAGAAAAGCACCGAAGUGAGAACAGAGGUCUAAGUUCGUUUUGUUUACUGUUGUGUCCCUUGCUCCUGGAACAGAAUUUGGCACCAUUAGAUGCUCAGUAUAUAAAAGUGAAAGUCAAUAAACAGUA